UACGUAGGGCGCAAGCGUUGUCCGGAAUUAUUGGGCGUAAAGAGCUCGUAGGCGGUCUGUCGCGUCUGCUGUGAAAACUCGGGGCUUAACCCCGGGCCUGCAGUGGGUACGGGCAGACUAGAGUGCGGUAGGGGAGACUGGAAUUCCUGGUGUAGCGGUGAAAUGCGCAGAUAUCAGGAGGAACACCGGUGGCGAAGGCGGGUCUCUGGGCCGUAACUGACGCUGAGGAGCGAAAGCGUGGGGAGCGAACAGG
Molecule: ribosomal RNA, 253 nt
Filed under: uncultured bacterium
Lineage: Bacteria
Description: partial 16S ribosomal RNA
Rfam family: Bacterial small subunit ribosomal RNA
Source: RNAcentral